Capsicum annuum is the source of this 165-nucleotide long non-coding RNA. RefSeq lists it as uncharacterized. The transcript is spliced from 3 exons. NCBI's taxonomy places the organism in Eukaryota, Viridiplantae, Streptophyta, Magnoliopsida, Solanales, Solanaceae. The record is from RefSeq and is a predicted model, not a curated record.
AAAAUUCUAGAUGAUAAAGAUUUGAUCAAGAAAUAUUCUCCUAAUGAAUCUGAUACCUCCCGUGACCAUCACUUUACCAAUUCUGAAGAAUCAUAUGCUGAGAAGGAUUACAAGGAAUCCACCAAAGACAGUGACAUGUUAACUUCUUUGAAGAUGUAUACAAAG